This 72-nucleotide transfer RNA is filed under the name Loxodonta africana (African savanna elephant). It matches the Rfam family "tRNA". Rfam says of the family: Transfer RNA (tRNA) molecules are approximately 80 nucleotides in length. The record is from Rfam by way of RNAcentral. Lineage: Eukaryota; Metazoa; Chordata; Mammalia; Proboscidea; Elephantidae.
GCAUUGGCGGUUCAGUGGUAGAAUUCUUGCCUUCCCACGCAGGAGACCUGGGUUCAAUUCCUAGCCAAUGCG